Molecule: ribosomal RNA, 423 nt
Filed under: uncultured bacterium
Lineage: Bacteria
Description: bacterial SSU rRNA
Rfam family: Bacterial small subunit ribosomal RNA
Source: RNAcentral
UAAGGAAUAUUGGUCAAUGGACGAAAGUCUGAACCAGCCAUGCCGCGUGGAGGAUGAAGGUCCUCUGGAUUGUAAACUUCUUUUAUAUGGGACGAAAAAAGGCUUUUCUAAGUCGUCUGACGGUACCAUAUGAAUAAGCACCGGCUAACUCCGUGCCAGCAGCCGCGGUAAUACGGAGGGUGCAAGCGUUAUCCGGAUUCACUGGGUUUAAAGGGUGCGUAGGUGGGUCUGUAAGUCCGUGGUGAAAUCUCCGAGCUUAACUUGGAAACUGCCAUGGAUACUAUAGGUCUUGAAUACUGUGGAGGUCAGCGGAAUAUGUCAUGUAGCGGUGAAAUGCUUAGAUAUGACAUAGAACACCAAUUGCGAAGGCAGCUGGCUACACAAAUAUUGACACUGAGGCACGAAAGCGUGGGGAUCAAACAG